This 3965-nucleotide long non-coding RNA is filed under the name Homo sapiens (human). RNAcentral describes it as "HSALNT0206790". Lineage: Eukaryota; Metazoa; Chordata; Mammalia; Primates; Hominidae. The record is from RNAcentral.
GGCAAUUUGGGAAAUGGAAUCUUUAUGUUGCUGGGUAUUUUCUCCUUCCACACCUCCUUCUCCUUGCUGGACAGGAGGGGAGGGCAGAAGACGUGUUUGUGGCCACAUUCCCGGUGUGGCCCGCCUGGACAGGAGCCAGGGUGCACACUGACCUGCACAGCCUCUGGCCUCUGUCCCUGGGCCUGAGAGGCAGGAGCAAGGGGCCUGUCCUCACUCUGAAUCCAACUGCUGGUGACUCAGGGCACCCUGCUGGACCCUCCAGGAGAAGUUGGGGCCCACGUUUCUAGGCUGCCCACUCAUCCAAACCUCCCUCCAUGUCCCUGACCAAAGCAUUUCGCAGAUCUGGGUCCUCUGGUGUGUGAGGCUCCUCCCAGCCCAUGAGCAUUGGAAAAUGUCUACAAGAUCUUUGCCAUUUUAGGUUCUACCGAGGCUAAAGAAUGUAUGUUUCCUCUGCUUAGACUUAAGUUUUUGAGUAACUUUAUAGACACUUUGGCAUUUUGGCUGAAAGGGCAUGUGCAGUAACUGAAUAUGACUUGUGCACUGUUUCAGUGCCAGUGGGUCACAUGCAGGGGAGUCAGAGCCAAGGUGGAUGAGGCUGGGAUAUCUACAUGCUUGGUGGGGAGUUGGAGUCAGGGUGGAUGAGGCUGGGAUAUCUACAUGCUUGGUGGGGAGUCGGAGCCAGGGUGGAUGAGGCUGGGAUAUCUACAUGUUUGGUGGGGAGUUGGAGUCAGGGUGGAUGAGGCUGGGAUAUCUACAUGCUUGGUGGGGAGUCGGAGCCAGGGUGGAUGAGGCUGGGAUAUCUACAUGCUUGGUGGGGAGUUGGAGCCAAGGUGGAUGAGGCUGGGAUAUCUACAUGCUUGGUGGGGAGUCGGAGUCAGGGUGGAUGAGGCUGGGAUAUCUACAUGCUUGGUGGGGAGUCGGAGCCAGGGUGGAUGAGGCUGGGAUAUCUACAUGCUUGGUGGGGAGUCGGAGUCAGGGUGGUUGAGGCUGGGAUAUCUACAUGCUUGGUGGGGAGUCGGAGUCAGGGUGGUUGAGGCUGGGAUAUCUACAUGCUUGGUGGGGAGUUGGAGUCAGGGUGGAUGAGGCUGGGAUAUCUACAUGCUUGGUGGGGAGUCGGAGCCAGGGUGGAUGAGGCUGGGAUAUCUACAUGUUUGGUGGGGAGUUGGAGUCAGGGUGGAUGAGGCUGGGAUAUCUACAUGCUUGGUGGGGAGUCGGAGUCAGGGUGGUUGAGGCUGGGAUAUCUACAUGCUUGGUGGGGAGUCGGAGCCAAGGUGGAUGAGGCUGGGAUAUCUACAUGCUUGGUGGGGAGUUGGAGCCAAGGUGGAUGAGGCUGGGAUAUCUACAUGCUUGGUGGGGAGUUGGAGUCAGGGUGGAUGAGGCUGGGAUAUCUACAUGCUUGGUGGGGAGUCGGAGUCAGGGUGGUUGAGGCUGGGAUAUCUACAUGCUUGGUGGGGAGGAGGAGCCAAAGUGGAUGAGGCUGGGAUAUCUACAUGCUUGGUGGGGAGUUGGAGCCAAGGUGGAGGAGGCUGGGAUAUCUACAUGCUUGGUGGGGAGUUGGAGUCAGGGUGGAUGAGGCUGGGAUAUCUACAUGCUUGGUGGGGAGUUGGAUCCAAGGUGGAUGAGGCUGGGAUAUCUACAUGCUUGGUGGGGAGUUGGAGUCAGGGUGGUUGAGGCUGGGAUAUCUACAUGCUUGGUGGGGAGUUGGAGUCAGGGUGGAUGAGGCUGGGAUAUCUACAUGCUUGGUGGGGAGUUGGAGUCAGGGUGGUUGAGGCUGGGAUAUCUACAUGCUUGUUGGGGAAGAGGAGCCAAAGAUGUGGAUUUCCUCUGUCUCCACAUCCUUGGGCAAGGACUGGUGAUCAGCUGCUGCUGUCUUAUUUUAUUUGCUUCUCCAGUAAAUGAACUUUAUAUAGUUGGUAGCUUGGCGUUUUCCAUUUUGCAUUACUGAAAUUUCAAUAAAUAGUGCUUUAGUUAGAUGUAAAUCUCUGUCAUUUGUGGCAGAGGAACUUAAAUGUCGGCCUGCAUUUUAGGGCACCUUUUUGUAUAGAGCAGAGAGAAGGGAAGUGCUGUCCCCCAGUGGCCUGGACCAGGCGGAGCCCAGCCUGUUGAUGAUGCAUUGUGUGUGCUUGGCAUGUGUGACGUGGCAAGGGAUUCAUGUUCUCUGUGGGCAGCUGCCUGAGUAGUAGACAUGUGAGGCCCCUUCCCGGGCAUUUUGUCCUGUCCUCAGGACAUGAAGAAAGCAGCUAGGCAAAGGCACUCUUUGCAGCUUUAAAUGGCCUAGAGUUACCCCCAGAAAAACAAUUCUACUUCUGUUCCACUUCUGUCCAAUUAAAACAAGUUUGUUCAUUUUAUUUUAGGAGCAAUUUGCCAUUGUUUUUGUGCAUUCGGCAGUUGUUUAUUUGCUGCUUGCAGUUGUGGUUGUUCGUGGUAUCAUUCACGAAUACAAUUUUGAACGAGGAAGAGCUGUGAUGACAAAUGCACUAAGAGACACCACUGUGGCUCUCCACAAAUUAGCCAGAACAUAAGGGUGGGAGGAGCCUGUCUUUCCCUGGCAGCACAGGGCUGCCUGGUCUUAAGAAGUCUGUAGUUGAGAACACAGCAUGUGGUUACAUGUAUACAUUAUUUGAAGGUGCACAAAGCAAAGGGAAGCCAACCACAAAAUGCCAGUUGUGCUAGUAGCAUGUGCUUCUUUAUGAAUGAAAGAACAUACGCAUUUUUGGUAUUAAUUAUUUAUAUAUUUUAUACAUGAAAUCUCAUUUGACAGGUUCCCUGUGACUCCACUGGGGAAUUCAGGGUGGGAGAGGUAGUGCCCCCAUCUUCAUAAGAGGGAGCAGACUUAGAGACAUAGCUGUAGAGAUUACACAGCUGGUAAGAAGUGGUUCCUAGAUGCUAGCCCUGGGGACCCGGCUCUGGUGUGGCGACAGCGCCUUUCACACCUGUAUCCUGAGAGUCGUGGGAAUGGCAUGUAGUUUAAAGUACAGAGAUGGGGGCAUGGAGUCAUUCCUAGGCUCCCAGGGAAGAGCAGGAUGUUUUUGAUAUGGCCGAUUAGGAAGAAUGGGCACUUUGAUCUCUGCAAAGAGAGCCUGCGCUUCAGUGACUAAGUAGGAUUUGACCCUUCAACCUUGACUCUAGUAGAUGGCUCAGUUAAAGGCUACGUGGUGAUUCUUAGGAGGCUUUUAAAUUAGAUAGAUGGAUUUGUCCCUGGAGAGACAAAGCUGAAAUCCUAUAUCACAUAGAUGUUAUAGACCGAGGAGGGGGGAUUUACCUACAGUUAUUUAAGCUUUUAAAGUAGAAAAAAGGUCCAGUUGAAAUGAUAUAUAACAACAGGCUAUCUGGAGAUGGAUAUAUUGUGAAUAAAUAAUUAUUCUACAUUCUCUUAAUUUGGCAGCAAAAAUAUAAUUAGGUUUUAUAAUUUCUGAUAUAAACAAUAUAAACAUUGUUAUGGUGUACAUAAAAUUUUUUUAGAUUAGUAAGAAAACCAUACGUAUAAACAUGUGUUAAGUCUGAGGAAAGAAUUACGUCGUUCAUUGGCUAUUUGCGAUUUUAAUGCACCUUAUAUCACUUGGCCCAAAUACUCUUAGGGCAGAAGCAUAAUGCUUACAUUCACAUUCUCAAAUGACCCAAGAAAGAGAAAAGAUUUGGACCCUUAAUGAGUUGUAGAUCUCAUAUAUAAACCUUUACUUCUGUUAAAGGAAGAAUGCUAGUGUAGGAUGUAUUUAGCAAUGAUUAGAUUUAUUGAGCACUUUUGUGUUAUGCAUGAAAAAUCAAAUAGAAUAGCGGUAGCUAAGAGAAAUUCAUUCCAAAAGUGUGCUGGCUUCAUAAAUGAUUUUGUGAUGUGUGUCCUCUUUUUCAGUAGGGUCUGUAACAGGAUAGUGUGGUUUUUAGUAGAUAGUAUUGCAUUUCUAAAGUACGUAAGCUUGCAGAUAAUUUUCAAAGGGAUAUCAAUUAGUUUCCCAGUAUAACACACA